This is a long non-coding RNA of Spinacia oleracea (spinach), 1800 nucleotides long. RefSeq lists it as uncharacterized. The record is from RefSeq and is a predicted model, not a curated record. The transcript has 7 exons. NCBI's taxonomy places the organism in Eukaryota, Viridiplantae, Streptophyta, Magnoliopsida, Caryophyllales, Amaranthaceae.
ACCCCCCUUGUUGCAGCGUACAUGUAUUAAUACGCUUCAACAACCAAUCGGUCAACGCGGGUCAAACCAUUUAAAGGGUUGUUGCAGCGUACAAUUUAAUUGUUCCCUGCAAAAAAGUUUAUUGCAGCGUACAUUUUAAAAGCCCCCUGCUAUAACUUUUUGUUGCAGCGUACAAUUUAAAAGCCCCCUGCAAUAGCCGGGUAAAAAAUUGCUCCCUAAGUGAUUCAGAAUACAAAUUUUCAUUUCUCGCGCUCAACUCCCUCUUCUUCCCUUACCUUUCCCUGCGUCGUCCCUUAAAAAAAAACCUAAGACGCAUCUCAAAAUUUCAGUUCUCGUUGUUCGCGUCCCGUUCUCCUCUCCUCACUUCGAACACUCUUUCUCUUCGUUCCUCUGCAUCGCCGGCCACCACCUCCUUCAUGUCGCCGCUGCUGGUGUGGUGGUUGCGAUGGUUAUUGCGUUGUUGUGGUUGAUGGUGUUGUCCCGCCUCCGUGCUCGCCUUUCCUCUGUUUGUCGCCGCCAAUAAUGGUGGCCACCAACACAACAUCAUUUGCAAUCCAUCACUAAUUGUUGUUGGGUGCGACGGCGCUCUGUCGUCGCCGCCGCCUCCUUGUUCGUUGUUGUGAAUGCUAAUUAUGGUCUUGCUCUCCCCUUCCCUCUCCUCCAUUGUUGCUGCUCGUUUCUAGCCCAAGUUUCAUUGUCUCCUUCCCAAACAAUCCUCCUGAUCCAAAAAAGGAUAGUGCCGCAGUUCAGAAAUUCUUUGCCAAUAUGGAAGUCGCAUUCAGGGCGCAUCCACUUUGGAGCUGUUGUUCAGAAGAGGAGCUUAAAAGUGCUGGUGAAUUGCAGGGAGUGGAGACGUUUUUCACUGUAAUUCGGGCUUGUUGCGGGGUCGGAAUUAUUGGGUUUACCUUAUGGUAAUUUUCUUGAUGCUAGGUCUUCAAAGAAACCUGCAUUUUAGCAUCGUCUUUCUAGAGAACGGCAAAUUCAUUGGCAAUCGUCGUCGACUUCUCCGGUGAGGAUCACGUGCCACUGAUUACAGUUGAUGCUGCUCUUCUGCUACACUUUCUCAUAUUCUUUUUAGCAGUCUGUCUUGUGCUAUACAGUGCAGUAACAAUGAUGCUUGGAAAGCUGAAGUUUUCUUUACUCAGCCCUGUUGCUGACUGAUCUGCUCCUACUGACUGAUCUUCUGCUACGCUGCUGCUGCACUAGUGCAAUGUUGCUGCUGAUUGAUCUGUUGUUACGCUGUUGCUGCUGCACUAGUGCAAUGUUGCUGCUGCUGGAUUAUUGUUGUUGCUGCUGCUUGAUUUAUGUUGUUGAUGUAGCUUGAUUAUUGUUGUUGCUGAUGCUUGAUUAUUGUUGUUGCUGCUGCUUGAUUAUUGUUUUUUUUGUUUCUGGUUGCUGCACUUGUGUGAAUGUUCUAACCGCCACAUUUUGUAUGUUUUACUUGAUUCAGGAACUCCCUAGGUACCAUGAAUAAUAACCAAAAUUUGUUGGGCAUGAAUCAGAAUGUGGCAGUGAUCGAGUUAUUACUCCCGCAACAGGUCACGAAUCAUAAGGUCUACACUCCGAGGAUUGCGCCUUAUGCGAGGAAUUUGAUGUGGUUUGUGAGCAAUGGGCUAAGUUUUUUACCAACAAGUAUUUAUUAUUGGCUUUAGCGCGCUUGAUCGAGUUGGUUUAGUUGUUAUAGAAUAAAUUUUAUAUUAAAAUGUAUGUUUAUGUUGAAAUUGGAACAUAUAUUUAAAUGUAAUAUGUGCACUUUGGUUUUGGGAUAUAUAGUAUACAAAACUCCAGUUGUUGUUUUUA